GUCUAGGGCCAUACCACCCUGAACACGCCCGAUCUUGUCUGAUCUCGGAAGCUAAGCAGGGUCAGGCCUGGUUAGUACUUGGGUGGGAAACCUGGGAAUACCGGGUGCUGUAGGCU
Rattus norvegicus (Norway rat) is the source of this 116-nucleotide ribosomal RNA. The record is from Ensembl. NCBI's taxonomy places the organism in Eukaryota, Metazoa, Chordata, Mammalia, Rodentia, Muridae.